AGAGUUUGAUUAUGGCUCAGGAUGAACGCUAGCUACAGGCUUAACACAUGCAAGUCGAGGGGCAGCAUUGGAGUAGCAAUACUCAGAUGGCGACCGGCGCACGGGUGAGUAACACGUAUCCAACCUGCCGCUUACUCGGGGAUAGCCUUUCGAAAGAAAGAUUAAUACCCGAUGGUAUAAAGAGUUCGCAUGUUCUCUUUAUUAAGGAAUUUCGGUAAGCGAUGGGGAUGCGUUCCAUUAGAUAGUUGGCGGGGUAACGGCCCACCAAGUCUACGAUGGAUAGGGGUUCUGAGAGGAAGGUCCCCCACAUUGGAACUGAGACACGGUCCAAACUCCUACGGGAGGCAGCAGUGAGGAAUAUUGGUCAAUGGACGAGAGUCUGAACCAGCCAAAAGUAGCGUGAAGGAUGACUGCCCUAUGGGUUGUAAACUUCUUUUAUAAGGGAAUAAAGUGAGGGACGUGUCCCUUUUUGUAUGUACCUUAUGAAUAAGGAUCGGCUAACUCCGUGCCAGCCGCGGC
Molecule: ribosomal RNA, 519 nt
Filed under: uncultured bacterium
Lineage: Bacteria
Description: bacterial SSU rRNA
Rfam family: Bacterial small subunit ribosomal RNA
Source: RNAcentral